GAAUCACGUCCCAGGGUGCGCGGGACCCGGCGGCCCCUCUCCCGGCGCUGCCCGGGGCCGACCCCGCGCGCCGCCGGCGGCCGCCAGCACGGCGCGGAGGUGGGCUCACUGCAGCGGCGCACGAAAGGUCACCGCGGUGGCAUUCCUCUCCGCACGCUGUUUACGUGACUUAAUGUACUUCAUACGCUGCUGGUAAGUUAGGGCCGCGAUAAGGGGGCGACCGGGGGAGGGUCGCUAUAAAAGCCCCACGCUGGGCGCCGCUCGCCCACCCCGCAUCCAUUAACCUUUUUACUUUCUUCUUCCCCUCUCCCUUAAAGCUUGUUAUCUAGGCCACCCAAUGACCGACGAAAGAUCUUCCCUCCCUGCUUCUCCCGUGGCCGCUUAAACCAAAUAAAUUUAGCUAUUAAGGGCCAAGAUGUCUGACAAAAGAUCGAAAGGUGUCUUUCUGUGAUCGCUUAAAGAAGCGAAGGAGAAGCUUGCAGCUCUCAAAGUCCGAUAAAGAAAUUCCACACCGGCGCCGGCCUCCCUCCCCGCGGCCUGCUUGAGUCCAGAGACCCUGCGAUCCCGACUUCGGCGACCGCAGAGCUCGGCUAUGUUGCAAAUAUGCAGAGAAUUAGGACGGAAGACUUGUCUACCAUUAUAAAGGCCCCCAGCUUCCUGCCACUUGCCUGACAUUCACUGAGUAUGCACUGCAUGAAGAAAAAAAAUAAGAGUCCCUGGCCAUCUCUUCCCUGGACUGUGCAGGCCUCCCAGAAAGCAGAGAUUUGAGUGCAGGAUCCUGAUGUUGGAGCAGCAAGUAAAUCUAC
This 806-nucleotide long non-coding RNA is filed under the name Marmota marmota marmota (Alpine marmot). RNAcentral describes it as "lncRNA (ENSMMMG00000010097.1)". The record is from RNAcentral. Lineage: Eukaryota; Metazoa; Chordata; Mammalia; Rodentia; Sciuridae.